UAUGCAUUGGUGAUGUUAGCUUCCUCUACCGAUGGCGCACUGCAGAAUAAACGAUAAAAGUGAAAAAGAAGAAAAACACGGCAAAUCAAGGAAGGACUCUUAGUGAGAAGAUAUAAACUGUCGAGUGAAACAUUAAAUGAGAAACAUAAAUUCUAGGAACAACGUGAUGUAUUCGUGAACAGUAAACGGUGUUAUCAAGAAUAGAGAUUAAAUUUGUAGUCAUGAAGAGGUCAGCUGACAUGCAGGUCAAGACAUUAUCUGAAUACUGGAAAAGUGUUACAUGCAUCCUGAUGAUUCGUUCAUAGCAUCAAAAUGCCAACAGCGCGACUGCUGCUCAAGUCUCUAUGGACAGUGUAAAAGAUGAAUGUCAUGAUAUGGACAGCUGCAACGAAGACUAAGCAAUUACAACCAGCCAGCGUUCUGACUGCGUGCGCAUGCCCGUAUUCAUCCAAAAACUGCAGUACAGGAUGAUGAAAGAGUCGAGCAAAGCAAUCUUUAGCGAAUGGAAUGGGUGUUAGAUUCACAGACAUGGAGCUGGCUCUGAAUGAGAACCUUAACUACGACACAUACGAAAGCUGCAAGGAAUAAAUUGUGAAAGGCAAAGCCAGGGCGAACCGCUUGACGAAGCCAAAGAAGACCCUGAAUAAGCCAAGACAUUCUGCUGAGCCAGGGACAAUCUAGUUCUGAACUGAAAAGAAUUUCUGCUAUUGCCAGUUGCACAGCAACCAGAGCAUGUGCAUAAGGUUUCUGCGUGACUGUGUGGUAAGAAACUUGCUACCAUUCCAUCUCAUUAUGUAACUGUCCAGCCCGCAGAUUCCUGUCUUUGCAAGGUCC
Long non-coding RNA from Octopus sinensis (East Asian common octopus), 834 nucleotides. RefSeq lists it as uncharacterized. Lineage: Eukaryota; Metazoa; Mollusca; Cephalopoda; Octopoda; Octopodidae. The record is from RefSeq and is a predicted model, not a curated record. The transcript is spliced from 3 exons.